AGACAGCGUUUCAUCCUGUUGGCCAGGCUGGUCUUGAACUCCUGACCUCAAGUGAUCUGCCCAUCUCGGCCUCCCAAAGUGCUGGGAUUAGAGGCAUGAGCCACUGCACCUGGCUGAGACAUUUCUUUUUUAAUGUAUGUAUUUACAACUACAAAUUUCCCUGUUCCCACUGCUUUCACUGCAUCCGGUAAGUUUUAGUAUUUUGUGUUUUCAUUUUAAUUUGUCUCAAAGUAUUUUCUCAUUUCACUUGUGAUUUCUUCUAUUACCCACUGAUUGUUUUAGAAUGUGUUGUUUAAUUUCCACAUACUUGUGAAUUUUCCAGUUUAAUUAUGUUGCUUUCUAGUUUCAUUUCAUUGUGAUCAGAUCACAAAAGAUUAUUUCAAUCUGUUUCAAUUUAUUGAGGCUUGUUUUGUGGCCUAACAUAUGGUCUUUCCUCAAAAUAUUCCAUGUACACUUGUGAAGAAUUUGUAUUCUGCUAUUGUUCUGCAUAUGUCUGUUAGGUCUAAUUGGUUUAUAGUUUUGUUCAAAUCUUCCAUUUCUACAUUGACCCUUUGUCUGGUUGUAUUGGCCAUUAUUGAAAGUGGGGUAUUGAGGUCUCCAACUAUUAUUGUAGAAGUAUUUUUCCCCUUCAUUUCUGUCAAUUUUUGGCUUAUAUAUUUUGGAACUCUGUUAUUAGGUGCUGCUAUGAUUUGGUCCCCACCAACACUCAUGUUGAAAUUUGAUCAUCAGUGUGGCCAUGUUGGGAGGUGGGGCCUAGUGUUUGGCUCAUGGAGGGGGAUGGAGAUCCCUCUUGAAUGGCUUAGUAUCAUUCUUAUGGUAGUGAGUGAGUUCCUGCUCUGGUGAGACUGGAUUAGUUCUUGCUGGAAUGGAUUAAUUUCCAUGAAAAUGGAUUGUUAUAAAAUCAGGAUGCCCCUCAACUUUUGUUUGUUCACAGGUGUCUGUUUCCACUUUGACCUUCUCUGCCAUGUUAUGAUGUAGCAUGAAACCCCUUGCCAGAAGCCAGGGCCAUGCCCUUAAACUUCCCAGCCUACAAAACUAUUUGAGAAGUUUUUGGCCAUUAUUUCUUCGAGUAUUUUUUCUGGCUAGGUGUGGUGGUUCAUGCCUAUAAUCCCAACACUUUGGGAGGCCAAUGCAGGAGGA
This 1140-nucleotide long non-coding RNA is filed under the name Homo sapiens (human). RNAcentral describes it as "HSALNT0407823". Lineage: Eukaryota; Metazoa; Chordata; Mammalia; Primates; Hominidae. The record is from RNAcentral.